GUGAGGAUUGGGAUAUUCCGACUCCUUAAGGGCCUGGCGCACAUAAGGUGUGACCUUUUCAUUCCCGUUGUUAUGGAGGGCCACAUCUGCCAGAGCCUGGAGUCUGCGAAGGCCGGGACCCGGUUCCCCGGCCCACAGUGGGGGUGUGCAAACCCGAGAGAACUGGGAAGUGCCGUCAGAAGCGAUAACUGACGACGUCUAAUGUCUAUCUGACCGCAGUCGCUGAAACCUCUACAACUUAGUUGACCGUAACUGCCAGAGCCCUGCCCUGAAUUCCUGUCCUUACUCCCUCUUUAAGAUUGCGUACCCACUGCAGAGUGCUGAAGACGGGGUAGCCACGAGGUUGCAAAUUCGUGAAGAAUCAGCAUCAUGUUUGGCAGCUGAGUAUUGGAGCCAGGAGCCUGCCAUGAGGUUUUGAGAACAGAGUGCUGUUUUAGAGCUGGCAGCAGCAUCUCAGCCCAAGAGAAGGUUAUAUUCCCAGAGGAUGUCAGUCCCAAGGACCAGUAGCUGCCAUCAGUUUGGAUUCUGAAAACUAACUGGCAUCAACACUGGGUGUAGAAACAUGCUUGCCUUAUGUAUCAGAGGACAUGCUCAGCAGAUCCAAGAGAUAUAUUUGGCAACUUUUUCUAGAAAAGGCACAUUGGGUAUCAUUCAUUACAUUCUUGAGUUUUUUUGGGUUUUUUUUUUUUUUUUUGAGACAGUCUUGCUGUAUUGCCCAGGCUGGAGUGUGGUGGCACAAUCACAGCUCAUUGCAUCCUCAAUCACCCAGGCCUAAGCAAUCCUCCCACCUUGUAGCUGGGACUACAGCUCACAGCACACCUGGCUAAAAUUUUUUUUUUGUUGAGACGGAUUCUCUAUGUUGCCCAGGCUGGUCUCAGGCUCCUGGGCUCAGAUGGUCCUCCUGCCUCAGCUUCCAAAGGCACAGGCCAAGUUGUAGCUUUGUCCCUUGCCAUCAUGCCCAACAAGAGGUUCUAUACCUUUUAAUGAAUUGACUUUCAUAAAUUGGUUAUGUUGGUGGGCAAAGUUCUUUAAGCUGGAAAUUGUAAAUUCCUCCUGAAAUGUUUUUUCAUGCAGUUACCAUGAACUAAUACUACAAUAAAGGAUGGUCUUGGGUGUCAAUUCUUGAAAA
This 1129-nucleotide long non-coding RNA is filed under the name Homo sapiens (human). Its description in RNAcentral is "HSALNT0388738". The stretch from base 142 to 215 matches the Rfam family "Small nucleolar RNA SNORD49". The record is from RNAcentral. Lineage: Eukaryota; Metazoa; Chordata; Mammalia; Primates; Hominidae.